Molecule: ribosomal RNA, 253 nt
Filed under: uncultured bacterium
Lineage: Bacteria
Description: partial 16S ribosomal RNA
Rfam family: Bacterial small subunit ribosomal RNA
Source: RNAcentral
UACGAGGGGGGCAAAUGUUGUUCGGAAUCACUGGGCGUAAAGGGAGCGUAGGCGGGUUUUUAAGUCAGGUGUUUAAUCCCGGGGCCCAACCCCGGACAGGCACUUGAAACUGGGAAUCUUGAAUAGUGGAGAGGUCAGUGGAAGUGGGGGUGUAGCGGUGGAAUGCGUAGAGAUCCCCAAGAACACCCGUUGCGAAGGCGGCUGACUGGACACAUAUUGACGCUGAGGCUCGAAAGCAUGGGGAGCAAACAGG